UGGCUGCAUCUUACUCCAAGGCCAGAUAAGCUGUGAGGGGCGAGGACAUCACUGACCGAAUUUUUCCCAUUUCCUAUCUCCGUGCCCUGUUUCCCCAGCACUCCAAGUUGGAAACGCCUCCAUCUUGCCUCUCCCCACCAUGGACCUCCUCUUGCUCCUGUGCUGUGUGGCCUUUUGUCUCUUGGGAACGGGCUCCGUGGAUGCUGGCAUUACCCAGACCCCAAGGAAUGGGAUUAUAGAGACAGGAAAGAGCAUUGUACUGGAGUGUUCUCAGACUAUGGAUCAUGCCUAUAUGUACUGGUAUCGACAAGACCCAGAACUGGGGUUACAGCUGGUCUACUUAUCCUACGGUACCGACGAUAUUAACGAAGGAGAGGUCUCCAAUGGGUACAGUGCCUCUCGAAAGGAGCGAGAGAAAUUCUCCCUGUUCCUAGAGACUGCCAUUCCCAAACAGACAGCUCUUUACUUCUGUGCCACCAGAGACUUUCACAGUGCUUCUCGGCCACCUGCUUUCUAUACAGAAAGACAGGCACAUUUGCUCAGAGGGGCACAGAAGGCUUCCCCCGUGUGAGAUGUGGGGAUCUUUAGAGGUCUCAGUAGUUCUAUGCUCCGUGUGCCUCAAUCUGAGCUUGAGGCCACAUUAGAUCAAUGUCCCUAGGCCAUGGGGUGACUGAAACCACAGGCUGGACUGAACCUAUCUCCCUACCCACUGACACUCUUUAUGUAUUCUAGUGGGGCUAGCCCGAUAGUGGCAUUCUAGAAUG
This is a non-coding RNA of Leopardus geoffroyi (Geoffroy's cat), 764 nucleotides long. NCBI's taxonomy places the organism in Eukaryota, Metazoa, Chordata, Mammalia, Carnivora, Felidae. The record is from the annotation of a RefSeq genome assembly.